This 378-nucleotide unclassified non-coding RNA is filed under the name plant metagenome. RNAcentral's name for it is "partial contains 5.8S ribosomal RNA, internal transcribed spacer 2, and large subunit ribosomal RNA". The stretch from base 1 to 105 matches the Rfam family "5.8S ribosomal RNA", at positions 50 to 154 of the family's 154-position model. The record is from RNAcentral.
GAAAUGCGAUAAGUAAUGUGAAUUGCAGAAUUCAGUGCAUCAUCGAAUCUUUGAACGCACCUUGCGCUCCUUGGUAUUCCUUGGAGCAUGCCUGUUUGAGUAUCAUGAAAUCUUCAAAGUAAAUCUUUUGUUAACUCAAUUGGUUUCUACUUUGGUAUUGGAGGUCUUUGCAGCUUCACACCUGCUCCUCUUUGUUCAUUAGCUGGAUCUCAGUGUUAUGCUUGGUUCCACUCGGCGUGAUAAGUUAUCUAUCGCUGAGGACACUGUAAAAGGUGGCCAAGGUAAAUGCAGAUGAACCGCUUCUAAUAGUCCAUUGACUUGGACAAUACUUUUAUGAUCUGAUCUCAAAUCAGGUAGGACUACCCGCUGAACUUAAGC